RNAcentral lists this ribosomal RNA (253 nucleotides) under uncultured bacterium. RNAcentral's name for it is "partial 16S ribosomal RNA". It matches the Rfam family "Bacterial small subunit ribosomal RNA", at positions 524 to 776 of the family's 1533-position model. The record is from RNAcentral.
UACGAAGGGGGCUAGCGUUGCUCGGAAUUACUGGGCGUAAAGCGCACGUAGGCGGCUUCUUAAGUCGGUGGUGAAAUCCUGGAGCUCAACUCCAGAACUGCCUUCGAUACUGAGAAGCUCGAGUCCGGGAGAGGUGAGUGGAACUGCGAGUGUAGAGGUGAAAUUCGUAGAUAUUCGCAAGAACACCAGUGGCGAAGGCGGCUCACUGGCCCGGUACUGACGCUGAGGUGCGAAAGCGUGGGGAGCAAACAGG